RNAcentral lists this ribosomal RNA (315 nucleotides) under Micromonas pusilla. Its description in RNAcentral is "SSU rRNA". It matches the Rfam family "Eukaryotic small subunit ribosomal RNA", at positions 626 to 952 of the family's 1831-position model. The record is from RNAcentral. Lineage: Eukaryota; Viridiplantae; Chlorophyta; Mamiellophyceae; Mamiellales; Mamiellaceae.
GCUCGUAGUUGGAUUUCGGUUGAGAACGGCCGGUCCGCCGUUUGGUGUGCACUGGCUGGUCUCAACUUCCUGUAGAGGACGCGCUCUGGGUUAACGCUCGGACGCGGAGUCUACGUGGUUACUUUGAAAAAAUUAGAGUGUUCAAAGCGGGCUUACGCUUGAAUAUUUCAGCAUGGAAUAACACUAUAGGACUCCUGUCCUAUUUCGUUGGUCUCGGGACGGGAGUAAUGAUUAAGAGGAACAGUUGGGGGCAUUCGUAUUUCAUUGUCAGAGGUGAAAUUCUUGGAUUUAUGAAAGACGAACUUCUGCGAAAGC